This 253-nucleotide ribosomal RNA is filed under the name uncultured bacterium. RNAcentral describes it as "partial 16S ribosomal RNA". It matches the Rfam family "Bacterial small subunit ribosomal RNA", at positions 524 to 776 of the family's 1533-position model. The record is from RNAcentral.
UACGUAGGGGGCGAGCGUUAUCCGGAUUUACUGGGCGUAAAGCGCGUUAAGGCGGUUGGCAAAGUUGGUUGUGAAAUCUCAGGGCUCAACCCUGAAAUUGCGACCAAUACUGGUCGACUAGAGUGCAAGAGAGGAAGGUGGAAUUCCCGGUGUAGUAGUGAAAUGCGUAGAUAUCGGGAGGAACACCAGUGGCGAAGGCGGCCUUCUGGCUUGUAACUGACGCUGUAGCGCGAAAGCGUGGGGAGCGAACCGG